UGGCGGACGGGUGAGUAACGCGUGGGCAACCUGCCCCAUACAGGGGGAUAACAGUUAGAAAUGACUGCUAACACCGCAUAAGCGCACAGGGCCGCAUGGCCCGGUGUGAAAAACUCCGGUGGUAUGGGAUGGGCCCGCGUCUGGUUAGCCAGUUGGCGGGGUAACGGCCCACCAAAGCGACGAUCAGUAGCCGACCUGAGAGGGUGACCGGCCACAUUGGGACUGAGACACGGCCCAAACUCCUACGGGAGGCAGCAG
This 258-nucleotide ribosomal RNA is filed under the name uncultured bacterium. RNAcentral's name for it is "partial 16S ribosomal RNA". It matches the Rfam family "Bacterial small subunit ribosomal RNA", at positions 96 to 354 of the family's 1533-position model. The record is from RNAcentral.